UACGUAGGCAGCAAGCGUUGUUCGGAAUUACUGGGCGUAAAGAGUGUGUAGGCGGUGCUCUAAGUUUGUCGUGAAAUCUCCCGGCUUAACUGGGAGGGUGCGGCGAAAACUGGAGUGCUAGAGGGUGGGAGAGGAAAGCGGAAUUCCUGGUGUAGCGGUGAAAUGCGUAGAUAUCAGGAGGAACACCAAUGGCGAAGGCAGCUCGCUGGGACGUGACUGACGCUGAGACGCGAAAGCGUGGGGAGCAAACAGG
This 253-nucleotide ribosomal RNA is filed under the name uncultured bacterium. Its description in RNAcentral is "partial 16S ribosomal RNA". It matches the Rfam family "Bacterial small subunit ribosomal RNA", at positions 524 to 776 of the family's 1533-position model. The record is from RNAcentral.